This 246-nucleotide ribosomal RNA is filed under the name uncultured bacterium. RNAcentral's name for it is "partial 16S ribosomal RNA". It matches the Rfam family "Bacterial small subunit ribosomal RNA", at positions 524 to 769 of the family's 1533-position model. The record is from RNAcentral.
UACGUAGGGUGCGAGCGUUAAUCGGAAUUACUGGGCGUAAAGCGUACGCAGGCGGUUUUGUAAGCCAGAUGUGAAAUCCCCGGGCUUAACCUGGGAACUGCAUUUGGGACUGCAAGGCUUGAGUGCGGCAGAGGAGACUGGAAUUCCUGGUGUAGCAGUGAAAUGCGUAGAUAUCAGGAGGAAUACCGAUGGCGAAGGCAGGUCUCUGGGCUGACACUGACGCUCAUGCACGAAAGCGUGGGGGAG